AAGUAACAAACUGUGGAGAUA
This 21-nucleotide non-coding RNA is filed under the name Caenorhabditis elegans. The record is from RNAcentral. Lineage: Eukaryota; Metazoa; Nematoda; Chromadorea; Rhabditida; Rhabditidae.